GAGAGGUGGCAGAGUGGUCGAUUGCGGCGGUCUUGAAAACCGUUGAACGGAGACGUUCCGGGGGUUCGAAUCCCUCCCUCUCC
Molecule: transfer RNA, 83 nt
Filed under: human gut metagenome
Rfam family: tRNA
About the family: Transfer RNA (tRNA) molecules are approximately 80 nucleotides in length. Their secondary structure includes four short double-helical elements and three loops (D, anti-codon, and T loops).
Source: RNAcentral